GCCGUGACAUGGCCACCCUGUGACACUACACACAGUCACACACAGUCACACACACAGUCACACAGUGAGUGUGUGUAGUGUGUGUGUGAGUGAGAGGUGAGCACGCAUGCCUUCCUCUAGAUGCCGUGACAUGGCCACCCUGUGACACUACACACAGUCACACACAGUCACACACACAGUCACACAGUGAGUGUGUGUAGUGUGUGUGUGAGUGAGAGGUGAGCACGCAUGCCUUCCUCUAGAUGCCGUGACAUGGCCACCCUGUGACACUACACACAGUCACACACAGUCACACACACAGUCACACAGUGAGUGUGUGUAGUGUGUGUGUGAGUGAGAGGUGAGCACGCAUGCCUUCCUCUAGAUGCCGUGACAUGGCCACCCUGUGACACUACACACAGUCACACACAGUCACACACACAGUCACACAGUGAGUGUGUGUAGUGUGUGUG
This is a non-coding RNA of Petromyzon marinus (sea lamprey), 452 nucleotides long. The record is from RefSeq and is a predicted model, not a curated record. NCBI's taxonomy places the organism in Eukaryota, Metazoa, Chordata, Hyperoartia, Petromyzontiformes, Petromyzontidae.